This 28-nucleotide non-coding RNA is filed under the name Mus musculus (house mouse). Lineage: Eukaryota; Metazoa; Chordata; Mammalia; Rodentia; Muridae. The record is from RNAcentral.
UGUCAAAUGGUCAAGGUGUACCCCCAGG